This 61-nucleotide non-coding RNA is filed under the name Ricinus communis (castor bean). The record is from RNAcentral. Lineage: Eukaryota; Viridiplantae; Streptophyta; Magnoliopsida; Malpighiales; Euphorbiaceae.
GAUGCAACUCCGCCUGUAUUGAAACAGCCGGUCCCAAGCCCGGAUAAAGGAGGAGGGUUAA